GGCACUGUGGCAUAGUGGUUUUAGUGUUGGACUAUGACUCUGAAGACCAGAGUUCGACUGCCCACUGAGCCA
This is a non-coding RNA of Phrynosoma platyrhinos (Desert horned lizard), 72 nucleotides long. The record is from the annotation of a GenBank genome assembly. Lineage: Eukaryota; Metazoa; Chordata; Lepidosauria; Squamata; Phrynosomatidae.